RNAcentral lists this long non-coding RNA (1009 nucleotides) under Canis lupus familiaris (dog). RNAcentral's name for it is "lncRNA (ENSCAFG00040007988.1)". Lineage: Eukaryota; Metazoa; Chordata; Mammalia; Carnivora; Canidae. The record is from RNAcentral.
AUGCCAGCGAGCGAGCGGGGCGGCCUGCGGACUCUGGGUCAGCACGUGGCCCGGGCAUCUGCGUCUCUAACCCAUUCCCUAACGAGGCCGAUGUUGCUGGUGCAGGGAUGUCACUUCGAGAAUCACCGCUCUGUAGUUAGUGUCUUUGGUUUUCCGGCGUUUAUCCCGGUGGCCCUGUGUGUACGUGAACACGGAUCACUACAAUGGACCCGUUUAUGUAGGAUUUUGAAAUUCGGUGGUUUCCAUCUCACAAAAUAUCCUAGACAUCAUCCCCACACUACAGAUUACGAUCGCCCACAGUCAGCAGUGUGGCCCGCCGUGUCGGUGGCGCCCGGUGACGGCACCUGCUGCGGAGAGCCGGAGGGAGCACACAGAACUGUCCAGUCGUGUGGCUCCCCCGAAACCCGUACGACCCUGUGGGUCACUUGUGCUUCGAUAAAAAUCAGAUUGAAAAAAGAGAGUCGGGAAACCAGCCACGGAACUGAACCAACGCGAUGGGAGGAGCCAACGGGAGGAGGGUUGCGUAGGCCGAGGCCAAGCCCAGGGGCCGAGUGUCCUGAGGAGCGGCCCCCGAGCUCUCCUGCCGGGCCGGGCCAUCUGCGCAGCCCCGGGAGGCUCCCGGAGGCCUCGGCUCCCUGCACGGCCGCCCGAGUCCACGGCCCGUGUGGACACGGUUCAGCGGUGGGUGAUGCCCCUGCAGCCGGGCCUCCCACACGUCCAGCCGUGGAGCGUGAUCCUCCGAGGACCUCUGCGUUCCUUCUGUUUUCUAAGCUAGAGGACUCCAGGAGACAGUGCUCCGCUCCGUCCGACUUCACUUCACGGGAGGCCUGGGGCUCGGCGUCUGCACCUGCACCUCCGACCCGGUGGCCCGCGGCCUGCAGCCUCCUUGCUCCUGCAGCUCCGGCCUCCGCCAGGGUCCAGGCACGUCCCAGAAAUGCCACAGGACUGCCCGGCGGUGCCCAGGCCAAGCAGGAACCGGGAGCGUAGCGGGAAGGCAUCGAGGGCAGAG